CAAGGUAACGCUUACCAAGGCGACGAUGGGUAGGGGUCCUGAGAGGGAAGAUCCCCCACACUGGUACUGAGACACGGACCAGACUCCUACGGGAGGCAGCAGUGAGGAAUAUUGGUCAUGGGCGCAAGCCUGAACCAAAGCCAUGCCGCGUGCAGGAUGACGGUCCUAUGGAUUGUAAACUGCUUUUGUACGAGAAGAAACACCCCGACGUGUCGGGACUUGACGGUAUCGUAAGAAUAAGGAUCGGCUAACUCCGUGCCAGCAGCCGCGUAAUACGGAGGAUCCAAGCGUUAUCCGGAAUCAUUGGGUUUAAAGGGUCCGUAGGCGGUCUUGUAAGUCAGUGGUGAAACCCAUCGCUCAACGAUGGAACGGCCAUUGAUACUGCAGGACUUGAAUUACCAGGAAGCAACUAGAAUAUGUAGUGUAGCGGUGAAAUGCUUAGAGAUUACAUGGAGAUACCAAUUGCGAAGGCAGGUUGCUACUGGUGGAUUGACGCUGAUGGACGAAAGCGUGGGUAGCGAAAAGGAUUAGAUACCCUGGUAGUCCACGCCGUAAACGAUGGAUACUAGCUGUUGGGGGCGACCUCAGUGGCUAAGCGGAAGUGAUAAGUAUCCCACCUGGGGAGUACGUUCGCAAGAAUGAAACUCAAAGGAAUUGACGGGGGCCCGCACAGCGGUGGAGAUGUGGUUUAAUUCGAUGAUACGCGAGGAACCUUACCAAGGCUUAAAUGCAGACUGACCGUUUUGGAAACAAAACUUUCGCAAGACAGUCUACAAGGUGCUGCAUGGUUGUCGUCAGCUCGUGGCGUGAGGUGUCAGGUUAAGUCCUAUAACGGCGCAACCCCUGUUUUUAGUUGCCAGCGAGUAGUGUC
Molecule: ribosomal RNA, 871 nt
Filed under: Flavobacterium denitrificans
Lineage: Bacteria; Pseudomonadati; Bacteroidota; Flavobacteriia; Flavobacteriales; Flavobacteriaceae
Description: bacterial SSU rRNA
Rfam family: Bacterial small subunit ribosomal RNA
Source: RNAcentral